Molecule: ribosomal RNA, 781 nt
Filed under: uncultured Sediminibacter sp.
Lineage: Bacteria; Pseudomonadati; Bacteroidota; Flavobacteriia; Flavobacteriales; Flavobacteriaceae
Description: bacterial SSU rRNA
Rfam family: Bacterial small subunit ribosomal RNA
Source: RNAcentral
CCUAACACAUGCAAGUGGAGGGGUAACAGGGGAGCUUGCUCCCGCUGACGACCGGCGCACGGGUGCGUAACGCGUAUGCAACCUGCCCUCUACAGGGGGAUAGCCCAGGGAAACUUGGAUUAAUACCCCAUGGUGCUUGGGGCCGACAUCGGCCCCUGGUUAAAGAUUCAUCGGUAGGGGAUGGGCAUGCGUUCUAUUAGCUAGAUGGUGCGGUAACGGCGCACCAUGGCGACGAUAGAUAGGGGCCCUGAGAGGGGGACCCCCCACACUGGUACUGAGACACGGACCAGACUCCUACGGGAGGCAGCAGUGAGGAAUAUUGGACAAUGGGCGGGAGCCUGAUCCAGCCAUGCCGCGUGCAGGAAGACUGCCCUAUGGGUUGUAAACUGCUUUUUCACGGGAAGAAACACCCCCACUUGUGGGGGCUUGACGGUACCGUGCGAAUAAGGAUCGGCUAACUCCGUGCCAGCAGCCGCGGUAAUACGGAGGAUCCGAGCGUUAUCCGGAAUCAUUGGGUUUAAAGGGUCCGUAGGUGGGCGAUUAAGUCAGGGGUGAAAUCCCGCGGCUCAACCGUGGAAUUGCCUUUGAUACUGGUCGCCUUGAGUUGUCGUGAAGCAGCUGGAAUAUGUAGUGUAGCGGUGAAAUGCAUAGAUAUUACAUAGAACACCUAUUGCGAAGGCAGGUUGCUAACGGCACACUGACACUGAUGGACGAAAGCGUGGGGAGCGAACAGGAUUAGAUACCCUGGUAGUCCACGCCGUAACGAUGGUCACUAGCUGUC